GGCAGCAGCCGCGGGAACACCGGCGGCCCGAGUGGUGAUCGUGAUUAUUGGGUCUAAAGGGUCCGUAGCCGGUUUGGUCAGUCCUCCGGGAAAUCUGAUAGCUCAACUAUUAGGCUUUCGGGGGAUACUGCCAGACUUGGAACCGGGAGAGGUAAGAGGUACUACAGGGGUAGGAGUGAAAUCUUGUAAUCCCUGUGGGACCACCUGUGGCGAAGGCGUCUUACCAGAACGGGUUCGACGGUGAGGGACGAAAGCUGGGGGCACGAACCGGAUUAGAUACCCGGGUAGUCCCAGCCGUAAACGAUGCUCGCUAGGUGUCAGGCAUGGCGCGACCGUGUCUGGUGCCGCAGGGAAGCCGUGAAGCGAGCCACCUGGGAAGUACGGCCGCAAGGCUGAAACUUAAAGGAAUUGGCGGGGGAGCACAACAACGGGUGGAGCCCUGCGGUUUAAUUGGACUCAACGCCGGACAACUCACCGGGGGCGACAGCAAUAUGUAGGCCAAGCUGAAGACUUUGCCUGAAUCGCUGAGGAGUGGUGCAUGG
RNAcentral lists this ribosomal RNA (542 nucleotides) under uncultured archaeon. Its description in RNAcentral is "bacterial SSU rRNA". It matches the Rfam family "Archaeal small subunit ribosomal RNA", at positions 457 to 997 of the family's 1478-position model. The record is from RNAcentral.